This is a long non-coding RNA of Heterocephalus glaber (naked mole-rat), 1264 nucleotides long. The record is from Ensembl. Lineage: Eukaryota; Metazoa; Chordata; Mammalia; Rodentia; Bathyergidae.
GGGGAGCCUGGGCUUGGUCAAGAGGCCAUGGCAGGCAGGGCCCGGUGUGACGCAGAGAAGCUCAGGGAGGCCCAUUCAGAGCCCUGGGAAACAGCAGGCUGCAGGCUUCAGAUUUAGGUGGUGGCUGAGGAGAUGGGAAGAAGGAACUGACCAGAGAUACUUAAGGAGACAAAGGACCAGACCUGGGGCCUGACUGCUCCUGGGUGGUAAGGGAGCAGGAGUCGUCCUGGUCUCUAUGGAGAAAAGGAGGAGGCCAGCAGCCGGCCACCAGCACCAGUUACCGUGGACACAACCCUCAGGGACCCUGACCCCUCCCCCCGCAAGUGCCGAGCUCCGGCCUCUGACAGCCUGUUCCCCCCACCACCACCACUUUCCCCAGGGGCGGUGGCGCAGCUCUGCUGGCUCCUGGCCCAGUGCUCCUCCCUAAGCAGUCCGCUCUGCUCCAUGCAUCCAGCAGGGCAGGGAGGGAGGACAGCGGCGGCAGGAGUCUGCAGGCCGGAGGGGAAAGGAAGGCCAGGAAACCAACCUGGGGACCCCAACCAAGAGCCAGGCAGAGAAAGAGAGGGCGUGGCAGACGCCAGGAGGAGCCCACCCGUCACAAACCAUGCCCUGGCCUCAUGCCACCCCCACAGAGGGGAUGGGGACACUGAGGCCAGAGAUGGCCGAGGACAGGAAGACUAGAAGAACCCAGGUUUGGCAAACAUCGCCUCCUGCUGGACGCCCUCCCCCGCCACACCCUGGAGCGACCACCUCCACCCAGGGCUACUUUGAAGAUGGUGCCCAACAUCACAGGGCCCCAGAGCAGAGGCCCCCAGAUCCCCAUGGCACAGAAGGCUGAACUAGAGGGGAGGGAACUUGAGCUCACUCAGCUGGCAGCAAGUGGAGAUACGCUGAUCUCUGAAGAUUGGGACCAUGUUCCCCUGACAAGAAGCUAUUCUCAGGAAUGGAAGGACCCUGAACCCCAAAAGCCACAGGAUCCAGCCGGAAACAGGACAGGCUCAAACUCUGGGUUUCUGAGCCUAUGCUCCCCUCUCUGGACGCCAGGUCCCCCAAACGCACAAGGAUGGACUGAUUAGUGAUCUGAAAGAGCCAGUUUACCGCCUAACGCUGUACCACGCACCCAACUGUCUCCCGAAGUUUUCUAAAGCAAAAAUACAAACCUCACUGCCCUCCUCCCGGGGCCCCACAAUCGGAGGCCCUCUGAGAGACCCCGACUGCCAGGGGAUCCCGCAGCUCGACCAUCCCCGUCCCAGGACGAGACCCG